RNAcentral lists this unclassified non-coding RNA (308 nucleotides) under plant metagenome. RNAcentral describes it as "partial contains 5.8S ribosomal RNA, internal transcribed spacer 2, and large subunit ribosomal RNA". The stretch from base 1 to 104 matches the Rfam family "5.8S ribosomal RNA", at positions 51 to 154 of the family's 154-position model. The record is from RNAcentral.
AAAUGCGAUAAGUAGUGUGAAUUGCAGAAUUCAGUGAAUCAUCGAAUCUUUGAACGCACAUUGCGCCCCUUGGUAUUCCAUGGGGCAUGCCUGUUCGAGCGUCAUUUGUACCCUCAAGCUCUGCUGGGUGUUGGGUGUUUGUCCCGUCUCCGCGCGUGGACUCGCCCCAAAGUGAUUGGCAGCCGGCGUACUGGUCCCGGAGCGCAGCACAUGUCGCGCAAACGAGUGCCUUGGUACGGCGGCGUCCAUAAGCCCCUCUCUCACGCUCUUGACCUCGGAUCAGGUAGGGAUACCCGCUGAACUUAAGC